Callithrix jacchus (white-tufted-ear marmoset) is the source of this 605-nucleotide long non-coding RNA. RefSeq lists it as uncharacterized. The record is from RefSeq and is a predicted model, not a curated record. NCBI's taxonomy places the organism in Eukaryota, Metazoa, Chordata, Mammalia, Primates, Cebidae.
CCAAGGCCCAUCAGCUCUGAUCCUAGGACCAUCUGUCUCCUAUCGCCAAUUAACAUGGGGUCCUUACCCACUGUGAGGUCAUCAAGCUCAGGCAACACAGGCAGAGUCCAGCCAAUGGAGUUCAGCAGGGCAGUCACUUGGCCCAUGGUCACCAAGGGCUCUACACGAACAAUCUGUUGACACAAGAAAACAGAUCCUGGGUCAAAAGGAGGCAGCCAGGCCCAAGGCGGUGGGGGCUCCUGCACACAGAAGGAGAAAUACUCAUUCACUUAGAAGAUAUAGCAAAAGUAAAAAAGAAAACAAAUAUCACUCAUCCUGGCUGGGCAAGGUGGCUCACGCCUGUAAUCCCAGCAGUUUGGGAGGCUGAGUUUCUGACAGGCCCUUCAAAGGAGGCAACCAGACUAUGCAUCUAUCUCAGUGAGCAGAGGGAUGACUCUGAAGAGAAUGGGAGGCAGAGUCUCACUCUGUCACCCAGGCUGGAGUGUAAUGGCAUGGUAUCGGCUCACUGCCACUUCUGCCUCCCGGGUUCAAACAAUUCACCCACCUCAGCCUUCCAAGUAGCUACAGGUAUGUGCCACCACACCCAGCUAAUUUUUUUUUUUUUU